RNAcentral lists this unclassified non-coding RNA (170 nucleotides) under plant metagenome. Its description in RNAcentral is "partial contains small subunit ribosomal RNA and internal transcribed spacer 1". The stretch from base 1 to 46 matches the Rfam family "Eukaryotic small subunit ribosomal RNA", at positions 1786 to 1831 of the family's 1831-position model. The record is from RNAcentral.
AAGUCGUAACAAGGUUUCCGUAGGUGAACCUGCGGAAGGAUCAUUAGAGAUUGGCCUAACGGCCGUGUCUUCAUCCACACACACCGUGAACCGUUUUGGAGCCUCUAGGGGCUUCAGACAAAACACCAAAACAAUUUGUAAAGAAUGUAAAUUAUCGUAACAAAACAAAA